This is a small nucleolar RNA of Pteronotus mesoamericanus, 126 nucleotides long. RefSeq annotates it as small nucleolar RNA SNORA77. The transcript has a single exon. The record is from RefSeq and is a predicted model, not a curated record. NCBI's taxonomy places the organism in Eukaryota, Metazoa, Chordata, Mammalia, Chiroptera, Mormoopidae.
GCAGACCCACUCUGCACCCAAAUGCAGUCCCAGGCAGAUGCUUCUUUUGUCUGCCACAGAAACAUCCCAGGGCACUGUAACGACCUUGACCUGUCAAGGGUGAUGCAGCUAUCCAGGGACACAGUU